GUUAGCGGCGGACGGGUGAGUAACACGUGGAUAACCUACCUAUAAGACUGGGAUAACUUCGGGAGACCGGAGCUAAUACCGGAUAAUAUUUUGAACCGCAUGGUUCAAAAGUGAAAGACGGUCUUGCUGUCACUUAUAGAUGGAUCCGCGCUGCAUUAGCUAGUUGGUAAGGUAACGGCUUACCAAGGCAACGAUGCAUAGCCGACCUGAGAGGGUGAUCGGCCACACUGGAACUGAGACACGGUCCAGACUCCUACGGGAGGCAGCAGUAGGGAAUCUUCCGCAAUGGGCGAAAGCCUGACGGAGCAACGCCGCGUGAGUGAUGAAGGUCUUCGGAUCGUAAAACUCUGUUAUUAGGGAAGAACAUAUGUGUAAGUAACUGUGCACAUCUUGACGGUACCUAAUCAGAAAGCCACGGCUAACUACGUGCCAGCAGCCGCGGUAAUACGUAGGUGGCAAGCGUUAUCCGGAAUUAUUGGGCGUAAAGCGCGCGUAGGCGGUUUUUUAAGUCUGAUGUGAAAGCCCACGGCUCAACCGUGGAGGGUCAUUGGAAACUGGAAAACUUGAGUGCAGAAGAGGAAAGUGGAAUUCCAUGUGUAGCGGUGAAAUGCGCAGAGAUAUGGAGGAACACCAGUGGCGAAG
This 642-nucleotide ribosomal RNA is filed under the name uncultured Staphylococcus sp. RNAcentral describes it as "bacterial SSU rRNA". It matches the Rfam family "Bacterial small subunit ribosomal RNA", at positions 91 to 720 of the family's 1533-position model. The record is from RNAcentral. Lineage: Bacteria; Bacillati; Bacillota; Bacilli; Caryophanales; Staphylococcaceae.